UUGACAAGGCUGUUGGCUCUGACGU
RNAcentral lists this non-coding RNA (25 nucleotides) under Rattus norvegicus (Norway rat). The record is from RNAcentral. Lineage: Eukaryota; Metazoa; Chordata; Mammalia; Rodentia; Muridae.